CUACGGGAGGCAGCAGUGGGGAAUAUUGGACAAUGGGGGAAACCCUGAUCCAGCAAUGCCGCGUGUGUGAAGAAGGCCUGCGGGUUGUAAAGCACUUUCGGUUGGGAGGACUGCUUCUAGCACUAAUAUUGUUGGAAGUUGACGUUACCUUCAGAAGAAGCACCGGCUAACUCCGUGCCAGCAGCCGCGGGUAAUACGGAGGGUGCAAGCGUUAAUCGGAAUUACUGGGCGUAAAGCGCUCGUAGGGCGGCUAGAUCAGUCGGGUGUGAAAGCCCCGGGCUUAACCUGGGAACUGCAUCCGAUACUGGCUAGCUUUAGUACAGGAGAGGAAAGUGGAAUUCCACAUGUAGCGGUGAAAUGCGUAGAUAUGUGGAGGAACAACAAUGGCGAAGGCAGCUCUCUGGCCUGAUACUGACGCUGAGGUGCGAAAGCGUGGGGAGCAAACAGGAUUAGAUACCCCUGUAGUC
RNAcentral lists this ribosomal RNA (467 nucleotides) under uncultured bacterium. RNAcentral describes it as "partial 16S ribosomal RNA". It matches the Rfam family "Bacterial small subunit ribosomal RNA", at positions 339 to 795 of the family's 1533-position model. The record is from RNAcentral.